AACGAACGCUGGCGGCAGGCCUAACACAUGCAAGUCGAGCGCCCAGCAAUGGGAGCGGCGGACGGGUGAGUAACGCGUGGGAAUUUUUCCUGGAGUACGGAACAACCGAGGGAAACUUCGGCUAAUACCGUAUGAUGUCUAGCGACCAAAGAUUUAUCGCUCUGGGGUAAGCCCGCGUCAGAUUAGGUAGUUGGUGGGGUAACGGCCUACCAAGCCUGCGAUCUGUAGCUGGUCUGAGAGGACGAUCAGCCACACUGGGACUGAGACACGGCCCAGACUCCUACGGGAGGCAGCAGUGGGGAAUCUUGCGCAAUGGGCGAAAGCCUGACGCAGCCAUGCCGCGUGAGUGAAGAAGGUCUUAGGAUUGUAAAGCUCUUUCGCUCGUGACGAUGAUGACGGUAACGAGAGAAGAAGCCCCGGCUAACUUCGUGCCAGCCGCCGCCGU
RNAcentral lists this ribosomal RNA (445 nucleotides) under uncultured bacterium. RNAcentral describes it as "bacterial SSU rRNA". It matches the Rfam family "Bacterial small subunit ribosomal RNA", at positions 29 to 521 of the family's 1533-position model. The record is from RNAcentral.